RNAcentral lists this long non-coding RNA (497 nucleotides) under Mytilus galloprovincialis (Mediterranean mussel). Lineage: Eukaryota; Metazoa; Mollusca; Bivalvia; Mytilida; Mytilidae. The record is from RNAcentral.
GGGCGGAGGGGGGGACAAUCUUUUAGUUUAGGGGUAUAAAUUGUAUUUGUUUUUCUUCAUAGUUAGGAAAUUGCGUAAAGUUAUCUCCUUCACCUAGUGGUAUUAGAUUUUAACUUUUCGUAAGUUCCGAAAUUCCUACAUCUCAUGAAGUUGAACAUGUGACGUUGCGUCCGGUGUCAUUGUCCUUAAGGGCAUACGAUACAGUUACAGGGAAGGGAAUGACGUUGCUUACGUAAAAUGUUAUUUUCGCGACGUCAAACUAUGACAUAUCGGGAAAAGAUGCAUUUUUCGACUGAUUUUUAUCAUUCAAACUGAUUUAAUUUGAAAACGAGUGCAUGGACCCCUAUUUUUUAAAACAGCAAUUUGUUUCAUUUUGCAAGGAGAUUAUGUGACCCAAAUUUUAUAAAACUGUAAAUAGCGCAAUUUUUUUAAUUUUGAUAAACAUGCAGCAAAAAAUGACGUUUUUUCCUCUAUUCAUGAACAUUUGAUAAAUAUAG